RNAcentral lists this signal recognition particle RNA (97 nucleotides) under Corynebacterium kutscheri. Its description in RNAcentral is "Bacterial small signal recognition particle RNA". It matches the Rfam family "Bacterial small signal recognition particle RNA". Rfam says of the family: The signal recognition particle (SRP) is a universally conserved ribonucleoprotein involved in the co-translational targeting of proteins to membranes. Archaeal SRP consists of a 7S RNA and homologues of the eukaryotic SRP19 and SRP54 proteins. In most bacteria, the SRP consists of a 4.5S RNA and the Ffh protein (a homologue of the eukaryotic SRP54 protein). The record is from RNAcentral. Lineage: Bacteria; Bacillati; Actinomycetota; Actinomycetes; Mycobacteriales; Corynebacteriaceae.
CGGUGGACUUCGCAUGGCGUUUAUCCCAUGAACUCCCCCAGGGCAGGAAUGCAGUAAGGGUCAGUGGGCUCUGGCGGGUAUGCGGAGUCCUUUUGUU